RNAcentral lists this ribosomal RNA (591 nucleotides) under uncultured bacterium. RNAcentral's name for it is "bacterial SSU rRNA". It matches the Rfam family "Bacterial small subunit ribosomal RNA", at positions 334 to 917 of the family's 1533-position model. The record is from RNAcentral.
UACUCCUACGGGAGGCAGCAGUGGGGAAUAUUGGACAAUGGGCGAAAGCCUGAUCCAGCCAUGCCGCGUGUGUGAAGAAGGUCUUCGGAUUGUAAAGCACUUUAAGUUGGGAGGAAGGGCAGUAAGUUAAUACCUUGCUGUUUUGACGUUACCAACAGAAUAAGCACCGGCUAACUUCGUGCCAGCAGCCGCGGUAAUACGAAGGGUGCAAGCGUUAAUCGGAAUUACUGGGCGUAAAGCGCGCGUAGGUGGUUCAGCAAGUUGGAUGUGAAAUCCCCGGGCUCAACCUGGGAACUGCAUCCAAAACUACUGAGCUAGAGUACGGUAGAGGGUGGUGGAAUUUCCUGUGUAGCGGUGAAAUGCGUAGAUAUAGGAAGGAACACCAGUGGCGAAGGCGACCACCUGGACUGAUACUGACACUGAGGUGCGAAAGCGUGGGGAGCAGACAGGAUUAGAUACCCUGGUAGUCCACGCCGUAAACGAUGUCGACUAGCCGUUGGGAUCCUUGAGAUCUUAGUGGCGCAGCUAACGCGAUAAGUCGACCGCCUGGGGAGUACGGCCGCAAGGUUAAAACUCAAAUGAAUUGACGGA